AGCUGAAAUGGCCAUACUUAUAACUGUUCCGGUGGGUAUGUACCUCAGAGAUAUGAAGACAAAUGGGACAUAUGCAGACCACAUAAUUCUGCAGGCAUUAUCAGAUAUGCUCGGAAUAACAAUACGAGUUGUUCAUGCUGACACAGCGGAUGUAGCUCUGAACCCGAAUGAUUCCACUGCUUCACAGUUACUUCUAGGCUACCUUCCACAUAUACAACAUUAUGUCAGUCUAGAACCAAGGUAAGACCAGAUGAUUUUGUGGCUGUGUACAUAUCUUCAAAUAAGAAGAAGCACUCCUAUGUAGCCAAAGUGAUAAAUAUUGAUGACACUGAGGUACGUUUACGUUUCCUCGCACAAAAGAGAGACAGCAUAUUUGUCGGGCCAAAUACUGAAGAUGUAAGUUGGCAAGCCAAAAUAGAGAUUGGACGUAGACUGACGUCACCAUUGUUGGCUGGUGGCAGGGGAAAACGAUUACAAUUCAAUUCCGAAGAAAUCAAAGAGUGCUCAAAUGUGUCGAAUUAGAAAUAAACAUAAACAGAGAUUUUGUAUGCAAAUGAAAUAUUAUAGAACAAUUCUAAAUGUUAAUUUUGUUAGGACAAUGAUUAUGUCCCAAGUCACAUGCAGUUUAGUAUUAUCUAGAAUCUAUAUUCUACCUAAAAAGAGCUAACAUGGAUUGUACAUAUGCUUUUUUAGACUAAGAAGUUGUUGAUUUAUUGAAGAAUAGUUUAAAACUGUUAAAUAUUACAGUUUUACAUACAUAUAUACAUUUGGAAAGACAUAAAACUAUUCUACACCAUGUAUAAUUAUUAUUGAAUAAUAUUGGUAUAUAAAAAUGAGCCAUAAUACAAUAUCUAAAUGUAGAGCACAAUAUGUAUGCAUGGUGUAGACCAAUUUUAUGUCUUUCAAAAUGCCAACUUGUAUGAAUACAGAAUGCAUAUACAUCACUAUGUAUGCCAUAAUUUAAAUUAGUCUUAUUUUCUUUUUAUUAAAUGUAUACGCGUUUUAUGUUUGUUUCUUUCAGAAUCGAAAACAAAUACUUGAACAUGUGAGCACUAUCAUAAUAAUUUAACUCAUAUAUUUGCCAGAAACAUGUUUUAUCCUUGGAGUUAGCUUUUUAUUAUGUUGUGUAACAACGAAACAAUUAAGACAAAGACAAAACAGGUGCAAAGUUUGGUGACAUUCCGUGUAUUGUAUAAAAUUGUUUAAAAUCAGUGGAAUCAAACUUGAGUUCAUGUAAUUGUUUCAAUAAUAUCUGAUGCAAGCUGAAUGCAUCGCAUGUUUGAUAAUAAUAUUCUAAGUGUACUUCUGUACUUGCAAGAAUUCUAUCUUAUGGACGCAACGUUCUAUUCUUAGCAAUAACCGGUAUUUCAACAGCUUCCCAAGGUGAAUAUCCAUACAGUGUUGUCAAGAAAAUUAAAGGAGACGAAAACAGAUCUUUCAAGCAUUAGUUCUUGUAAUACGUGAUUGAAAUGUAACUUUUUUGAGUGAAUUCUAAGAAAGCAUAUCAGUUAUCAUGCGCCGUACCUUGGGUCUUUGUUAUUCAGUAAUUACGGAUGAUUUUAAAUAAAAUGUAUAUUUUUAAUUAUAUAAAGUUGUGUAUAUUGUUUGCGUCAAAUGAUUAAUGUUUAUAUUUUAUUCUAUUUACUAUAAAUCAUUACUUAUUACUAUAUAAUGUUAGUCAUGAACCGACCUAUGACCGCAAGAAAAAAACUUUAUGAUGCUCAUGUCCAUUUGUGUUUUGUGUUUUGUUUAAUGACGAAAUAUACAAUUUUAAAUUAUUAACUAAUUUAAAAAAUAGUUAUUUAUUAACAAAUCCACAAUAUAUAUGUUAAUGUGAUCCUUACUAGACAUUAGUAUUUUAAUAAGAGCUUUCAAAUAAUUUGCAGAUUUUGAUAACUGCUCUUCAAAUGUACCAUAAGUAGGAUCGGUAAGAUAACAAUACAAGGCGGCAGAUUUGUUUUGAAACUAUAAUUGUUAAAAGCAUGCAGUUGAAUGAAUACUUGUAUCGUUAACACGUUGAGU
Molecule: long non-coding RNA, 2022 nt
Organism: Dreissena polymorpha
Lineage: Eukaryota; Metazoa; Mollusca; Bivalvia; Myida; Dreissenidae
Exons: 3
Source: RefSeq, a predicted model, not a curated record